GACGAACGCUGGCGGCGUGCUUAACACAUGCAAGUCGAACGGAAAGGCCCUGCUUUUGUGGGUUGCUCGAGUGGCGAACGGGUGAGUAACACGUGAGUAACCUGCCCUUGACUUUGGGAUAACUUCAGGAAACUGGGGCUAAUACCGGAUAGGAGCUCCUGCUGCAUGGUGGGGGUUGGAAAGUUUCGGCGGUUGGGGAUGGACUCGCGGCUUAUCCGCUUGUUGGUGGGGUAGUGGCUUACCAAGGCUUUGACGGGUAGCCGGCCUGAGAGGGUGACCGGCCACAUUGGGAAUGAGAUACGGCCCAGACUCCUACGGGAGGCAGCAGUGGGGAAUAGUGCACAAUGGGCGGAAGCCUGAUGCAGCAACGCCGCGUGCGGGAUGACGGACUUCGGGUUGUAAACCGCUUUCGCCUGUGACGAAGAGUGAGUGACGGUAAUGGGUAAAGAAGCACCGGCUAACUACGUG
This 468-nucleotide ribosomal RNA is filed under the name uncultured bacterium. RNAcentral's name for it is "partial 16S ribosomal RNA". It matches the Rfam family "Bacterial small subunit ribosomal RNA", at positions 28 to 507 of the family's 1533-position model. The record is from RNAcentral.